UAUGUGGUAGAAGUUUACAUAGACUUCAGCGACAUGUUUGUGAUUAUUGAUAGUUAAAUCUUUUUUCUCCCUUCUAGGAAAUGAGAUUAAGUAAAUUACCCAGGAUUGCACAGCUAGGAAGGGACAGAGGCCAGGUUUGAACCCUCCUGAUUCCAGGAAUCUUGGGUUACCCAAAGGGCCAUGGAGAGAUACAAGGAGGGUGCUAACAAGAAUCUUGGGUUACCCAAAGGGCCAUGGAGAGAUACAAGGAGGGUGCUAACAAGUAAGUUCUAGCAAAUUGCCAAC
Molecule: long non-coding RNA, 285 nt
Filed under: Monodelphis domestica (gray short-tailed opossum)
Lineage: Eukaryota; Metazoa; Chordata; Mammalia; Didelphimorphia; Didelphidae
Description: lncRNA (ENSMODG00000047966.1)
Source: RNAcentral